AAAUUGAAGAGUUUGAUCAUGGCUCAGAUUGAACGCUGGCGGCAGGCCUAACACAUGCAAGUCGAACGGUAACAGGAAGCAGCUUGCUGCUUUGCUGACGAGUGGCGGACGGGUGAGUAAUGUCUGGGAAACUGCCUGAUGGAGGGGGAUAACUACUGGAAACGGUGGCUAAUACCGCAUAAUGUCGCAAGACCAAAGAGGGGGACCUUCGGGCCUCUUGCCAUCAG
RNAcentral lists this ribosomal RNA (227 nucleotides) under Salmonella enterica subsp. enterica serovar Soerenga. RNAcentral's name for it is "partial 16S ribosomal RNA". It matches the Rfam family "Bacterial small subunit ribosomal RNA", at positions 1 to 224 of the family's 1533-position model. Lineage: Bacteria; Pseudomonadati; Pseudomonadota; Gammaproteobacteria; Enterobacterales; Enterobacteriaceae. The record is from RNAcentral.